Molecule: ribosomal RNA, 914 nt
Filed under: Vibrio cholerae
Lineage: Bacteria; Pseudomonadati; Pseudomonadota; Gammaproteobacteria; Vibrionales; Vibrionaceae
Also listed under: 1 other name
Description: partial 23S ribosomal RNA
Rfam family: Bacterial large subunit ribosomal RNA
Source: RNAcentral
UGUAUGGUUAAGUGACUAAGCGUACACGGUGGAUGCCUGGGCAGUCAGAGGCGAUGAAGGACGUACUAACUUGCGAUAAGCGCAGAUAAGGCAGUAAGAGCCGUUUGAGUCUGCGAUUUCCGAAUGGGGAAACCCAACUGCAUAAGCAGUUACUGUUAACUGAAUACAUAGGUUAACAGAGCAAACCGGGGGAACUGAAACAUCUAAGUACCCCGAGGAGAAGAAAUCAACCGAGAUUCCGGUAGUAGCGGCGAGCGAACCUGGAUUAGCCCUUAAGCACUCGGUGAAGUAGGUGAACAAGCUGGAAAGCUUGGCGAUACAGGGUGAUAGCCCCGUAACCGACGCUUCAUCGAGCGUGAAAUCGAGUAGGGCGGGACACGUGAUAUCCUGUCUGAAUAUGGGGGGACCAUCCUCCAAGGCUAAAUACUCCUGACUGACCGAUAGUGAACCAGUACCGUGAGGGAAAGGCGAAAAGAACCCCUGUGAGGGGAGUGAAAUAGAACCUGAAACCGUGUACGUACAAGCAGUAGGAGCACCUUCGUGGUGUGACUGCGUACCUUUUGUAUAAUGGGUCAGCGACUUAUAUUCAGUGGCAAGGUUAACCGUAUAGGGGAGCCGUAGCGAAAGCGAGUCUUAACUGGGCGCUCAGUCUCUGGAUAUAGACCCGAAACCGGGUGAUCUAGCCAUGGGCAGGUUGAAGGUUGAGUAACAUCAACUGGAGGACCGAACCGACUAAUGUUGAAAAAUUAGCGGAUGACUUGUGGCUAGGGGUGAAAGGCCAAUCAAACUCGGAGAUAGCUGGUUCUCCCCGAAAGCUAUUUAGGUAGCGCCUCGGACGAAUACUACUGGGGGUAGAGCACUGUUAAGGCUAGGGGGUCAUCCCGACUUACCAACCCUUUGCAAACUCCGAAUAC